This is a long non-coding RNA of Triticum aestivum (bread wheat), 843 nucleotides long. RefSeq lists it as uncharacterized. The transcript is spliced from 3 exons. The record is from RefSeq and is a predicted model, not a curated record. NCBI's taxonomy places the organism in Eukaryota, Viridiplantae, Streptophyta, Magnoliopsida, Poales, Poaceae.
CAAUAAUGCACAUGUGAUAUUAUCUACAUAAUUCAGUUUAUACGGCUUCCCAUAUUCCAAUGGUUGUAUUUUGCUAAAUUGCCAUCUACUUACUGGAAUUCUCACAAAUAGAAGUGCAGUCAGAAGGUAAAAAGGAUGGUAUGGUAUGUCUCCAUUCACAUGGUACUGAACUGUUAGUGAUUCUUUGUGUUAUUCUGCAGACUUGAACUUAGUUUAUAUGGUUUUCUUUUUCUGUUCAUAGACGAGAGUAUAGUCUGAAGGGAAAAAUUGGUAUGCUCUGAAGGGUGUGCAAGAACAGUGAGAUUUAUAUUACUGAAUGUAUUGUUAACAAUUUGUUAUUUUGCAGACUUGCUCUCAGUUUUUAUUCUUGGCAGGUGAUUCUUCAUGAUAAUUUUUUGUAGAGGAACAUUUUUGAACUCAGAUUUAUGACAAGGACACAAGCAAAUUUAUAGCAUCCGUUGUGAUGAUACAAGGGAAGUAAGCAUAGAUGCGCUCAACGUGAUGAUAGAUGGGAGAGCUCGGCCUAUGCUGCCAACUGAUCUGCAGCGGUGCAGAAGGAGAUUUCAAAAGCAGGGCAAGCGAGAGCGACUGUUCUAUUGAUGGUCAAAGGGAGGGCUUGGCAAGAGAGAUUGAGGGAGCUCUACUACCUCGAUCUUGGCAUAGAACCUGAUGGCAUCAUGCCCAGGAAACUUCCUUCUUCAGUAUGUAUGGGGAUUUAUAUGACACCAAAAGAGAAGUCCGGCGUGUUUCUUGGUUCUAUGGAACCCCUCGACCGGAAGCAAAUAGAUCACAUCGCAAGUUGCUUGCCCAAUAUAAUCGUGCCGGAAGUUACCAACAUCGCGU